This is a regulatory RNA element of 116 nucleotides. It matches the Rfam family "FMN riboswitch aptamer (RFN element)". Rfam says of the family: The RFN element is a highly conserved domain that is found frequently in the 5'-untranslated regions of prokaryotic mRNAs that encode for flavin mononucleotide (FMN) biosynthesis and transport proteins. The record is from Rfam.
ACCGAUCUUCGGGGCGGGGUGAAAGUCCCCACCGGCGGUAGAGUCCGCGAGCUGAACAGCAUGAGCUGGUGUAAUUCCGGCACCGACAGUUACAGUCUGGAUGAUAGAAGAUAGGC